UUCUUAAUGGCUAACACAAUAAGGAAACAUUCGAAACCUUUCCGAACUCGAAAAUGAAACUUGUUGUUGUCCAGAAAUACUACUUAGAUGGGAAUCCUGGGAACUAUUAAGAA
This 113-nucleotide ribosomal RNA is filed under the name Cyanidioschyzon merolae. The record is from RNAcentral. Lineage: Eukaryota; Rhodophyta; Bangiophyceae; Cyanidiales; Cyanidiaceae.